UGGUGAUGGGAUGGUAAAAAGGAGAAGCCAGAGAAAACACAGUGAGCUGGGGUGACCAGAGUUCAUUCACAGUGCUUCUCUUACCACACAAUUUCAAUUUCUGUUGUAUACUCUCUAAUGGUGGGACAGUAUUGUUGCAUUAGGAGGUGAGAACUGCAGAGGUAACUUCCUUAUAACAAUGCUUUCUGAAGCCAUUGUUCCCAUUAAUCUUCUUAGUAAAAAUAGCUCAUGUUGGUUAAGUUGUUUCAACUUCACUAAAGCUUGAAGAAGAUGCAAAUAAAUUUAUAAAAACAAGGGUGAAUGGAGAAAAAUACUGUGGUCAUAGCACUGAGAAGCAACCAACUGAAGAAGAAGUGGAGACUUUCCAGCGAAGUUUAUAAAGACCAUUAAGUUUGGAUUUGCCAUAGGCAGUCCUACAACAAAGGAAGCCUUAGUCAUAUCCAUCACAUUAGGACCAAGGAAGUCUAGAGACUGUUCUAUCAUUCCAGAACUGUGUUCAGAAGCAGCAGCUUUUAAUGAACCAGAGGAAAUGUCUUUAGAAGCAAAGCUGAAGAUGAUGAACGUUGGAUGGGACAAACCAACAGCCGCAAGACCAAACCCUUUCAAUAAAGAACACAAGGGGUUUUUGAUCAUCAGAAACUACGGGAGGGAAAUAUAAAUUCUCACCUUGGAAAUGUUUAUGACCAAGAUA
RNAcentral lists this long non-coding RNA (691 nucleotides) under Homo sapiens (human). RNAcentral describes it as "non-protein coding lnc-POU2AF1-4:1". The record is from RNAcentral. Lineage: Eukaryota; Metazoa; Chordata; Mammalia; Primates; Hominidae.